This is a long non-coding RNA of Acanthaster planci (crown-of-thorns starfish), 1903 nucleotides long. Lineage: Eukaryota; Metazoa; Echinodermata; Asteroidea; Valvatida; Acanthasteridae. The record is from RefSeq and is a predicted model, not a curated record.
UCGGCCGUGGUAUGGACCAAAGUGUGUGCUUCCACCAUCCAGGCCGUCAUGGACAAUGGACACAGUAUGUCUGCAGGCUGGACCAAGAACAGUGGCGCUGUGGCACCUGUAGCCCUGGCAGAGAGUGACCACUGGGAUAUACAUGGAUAUACAUGGACGACGCAAACACUAUGAAGAGAAUCAGCAUGCAUUACAAUGCCACCGUAAUUCUGUAGUUGAGAUGAACCAAACUGACAGACACCCUCAACAUCACUAAGAGCUGUCGCAAAAGUGGUGCAAUGAUUGCACUUAACCAGCAGGUGCAGUUCUCCAAACCUCCCUGCAGUGUCAUCUCCGAAGGUUCCUUUGUGUCCUCCAUCAAAGCCAGACCCAGCUCUACAUCGCUUCUCGUCACAUAGACUCCCCCAUUGCCGUCUUCAAUGCCGGUGGAGAAACUCUUGCGCAACUCAAGCUGGCUCUCCAGGGAAAAGUCCUGAGUGACUCUGACCCGACAUUUGCCCUUCACAUCGACUUCCAAAGAGACAUCUACGACCCAGUGACAAUCGAGACUUGUGUGCUGUGACAGAAGAAACUAUGACCCUGUCUGUUGCCAUCAACAUCUUCAAGGACAUUUCACUCAAACUACAAGGACUAUAGUCCUACAAUAUGUACACAUUGAGUGGAAAUAUUGUUGGAAAUGAAACAGAAAGCCACUACCUUACAGCCUUAUCAAAUUGGAGUGGUCACAGAGAAGACUGACUUGCAUCAUUCAGCCUUGAAGGAUCAUCAGUACCACGGUGACCUCAUAGUGAGUACACGUAGACCAAUGCGACAACUAGAAUUAGGAAGUCAAUACUGUAGUGGCACCACUGCCUGUAUGCAGGUGGCUUGCCGAAAGACAUGCUCACCCCAAGGAUAAUCUGCACCACAGUGACCUCGUCGGCAACAAUUGGAGUGAUCAGAGAAGAUUGACUUGCAUCAUUCAGCCUGGAAGGAUCAUCAGCACCACAGUGACCUCGUUGACCUCACUUUGCACCUGACUCUCAGACCUAUGCCUAUCCCAUGUGAAGUUCACAAGUAGCCCUGACCCCAAAGGAAUAAACAUCCUGCCGGCUCUUCGCAGCAACAGAAUUGAUGUUGAGGCAUUUGAAACCAUGAGAGACGACACAGAUACUUGCCUGUGUAGUAACAGAGCAGAGAUCUUGGAGAGAUUUUAUCAUACACAGGAUGGAUGUGAUGUGCAACAUUUGGUACAAUCAAAUCAUGCAGAACAAUACUUGGACACGAUUUGAUUCCAGAGAUGGCAAGCUUGAACGUGAUCCUCAGCGAUGAGAAAAUGGUAGUGGCAGCACUCUCCUCCCCACAAACCGUGUCAGAGUCACAAUGGCACAGGCAGAUGUAAUACAUUCUGACAUUUCCUCUAGCACCCAAGAUGCUGCCAGAACUAUGAUAUGAGCUCGGGCCAUAGUCCAGGCUUGGUGAAUGGAGAAAGUUCAUCAUUUUGAACAACAAACAGGGCACUAUAAAUUGGACCAUCGCAGAGGGGAUAGCCAUAUUGGAAAAUGGCUUCCUACCUGCUCUUGUCUUCCCGGAAAUGGCAUUUGAUGGAAACACCAUGCAGCUGCAGGAAAGUCUGCAAUCACGGAAUGAGCCAGUCUAGGAUUCCAACAGCGUAAGGCCAAGAGGAAGUUCAUCUGAGGUCAUUCAGGGACAGCCACAUGUGCUAGAGGUCUUUCCAUUCUCCAUGGCCAUACAUUAACUUGUAGGCGUGUUUUGAGUCCAGAACGACCUUGCCUCUUUGCGACACCAAUUUGGCUCAUUGACACAAUGGGAACAAGUGUCAUGAUGCACUUAGCAUCUUUCCCAAAGGCUUUAUUUUUAUGUAGCAAAUGUUUCCUGAAACAAUUCUUCAUCCUAUAGCACC